Capra hircus (goat) is the source of this 787-nucleotide long non-coding RNA. RefSeq lists it as uncharacterized. The transcript has 4 exons. Lineage: Eukaryota; Metazoa; Chordata; Mammalia; Artiodactyla; Bovidae. The record is from RefSeq and is a predicted model, not a curated record.
ACUUCCAGCAGCUUCCAGACCGGCCAGGGCGGCCCUGCCCCGCCCCUUCCCUUGAGGCCCCGCCCCGCCCUCUGCGGCCUGGGCUGUGCCUCCGCGGUGGCUCCGCCCCUCAACCGCACUGCUGGGAUCCUGGUGUCCAACUGCCUAGAUCUGGGAAGAGUCGGGUCUCCCAGGACUCCUGCAGGGUGGCAGGAGUUCUUGGAGGCAGCAUGAGGACGCUGGUCAGAGUGUGGCCCGCUCCAGGUGCCAGAAGCAAGUCGUUCCCCUUCGGCUGUGGCCCAGGAGCCUCAAGGCCAUGGGCCUGCCUAGGGAGUGCCAGAGGGACGCCCUUCUCUGCUGUCUCUGCCACGUUUGCGUGCUCUCCAGCUGUGACAAAUGGAAAUUUGUGUUCAUUUUCCGUUUCUUGGAGAGUCUGAAAAGCGAUUGUUGUGUAUCGAUCCCACAACUUGGACCUGCAGAAAAAUGAUGUGUGAAAAGAGUGGUCCUGGGCAUCCCUGUCUCCUUUCUGAUCAGAAAAAGAAUCCUUCAUCAUUGAGCAUAUUUACUGUCUCUGCUCCCUACUUGUGAUACAUCUUAAACUGAAUAAGUAUCAGAUUUUUUUUGGCAUCUAUUGAAAAUAUUGUUUUUAAAAUUUCCUUUAUCGAUAUUUUAAAUUCAUUAAUAGACUUACUAAUGUUACACUGAGAUUAUCUAUUUUAAGUUUUGUAGAACCCAUCUAUAAAACUGCCUGCUGUUUCUGUUGUUUUGUAUAUGAAAACAUUUUAGGGGCUUCCCUGAUGGUCCAGUG